GAAUCUGCCUGGUAGUGGGGGACAACGUUUCGAAAGGAACGCUAAAUACCGCAUACGUCCUACGGGAGAAAGCAGGGGACCUUCGGGCCUUGCGCUAUCAGAUGAGCCUAGGUCGGAUUAGCUAGUUGGUGAGGUAAUGGCUCAACCAAGGCGACGAUCCGUAACUGGUCUGAGAGGAUGAUCAGUCACACUGGAACUGAGACACGGUCCAGACUCCUACGGGAGGCAGCAGUGGGGAAUAUUUGGACAAUGGGCGAAAGCCUGAUCCAGCCAUGCCGCGUGUGUGAAGAAGGUCUUCGGAUUGUAAAGCACUUUAAGUUGGGAGGAAGGGCAGUAAGUUAAUUACCUUGCUGUUUUGACGUUACCGACAGAAUAAGCACCGGCUAACUCUGUGCCAGCAGCCGCGGUAAUACAGAGGGUGCAAGCGUUAAUCGGAAUUACUUGGGCGUAAAGCGCGCGUAGGUGGUUCGUUAAGUUGGAUGUGAAAGCCCCGGGCUCAACCUGGGAACUGCAUCCAAAACUGGCGAGCUAGAGUACGGUAAGAGGGUGGUGGAAUUUCCUGUGUAGCGGUGAAAUGCGUAGAUAUAGGAAGGAACACCAGUGGCGAAGGCGACCACCUGGACUGAUACUGACACUGAGGGUGCGAAAGCGUGGGGAGCAAACAGGAUUAGAUACCCUGGUAGUCCACGCCGUAAACGAUGUCAACUAGCCGUUGGAAUCCUUGAGAUUUUAGUGGCGCA
RNAcentral lists this ribosomal RNA (740 nucleotides) under Pseudomonas monteilii. RNAcentral's name for it is "bacterial SSU rRNA". It matches the Rfam family "Bacterial small subunit ribosomal RNA", at positions 122 to 850 of the family's 1533-position model. The record is from RNAcentral. Lineage: Bacteria; Pseudomonadati; Pseudomonadota; Gammaproteobacteria; Pseudomonadales; Pseudomonadaceae.